This 649-nucleotide long non-coding RNA is filed under the name Capsicum annuum. RNAcentral's name for it is "long non-coding RNA (CANN_LNC007282)". Lineage: Eukaryota; Viridiplantae; Streptophyta; Magnoliopsida; Solanales; Solanaceae. The record is from RNAcentral.
UCAACCCACACACUCCCCAUUUUUUUCCUUUUCUUCUUCACAGAGAACACACUCACACACACAACUUCAUCCUCACCAUACACUGAUACACACAGACAACAAAUACUCCACACACUCACAUACUACUACACAUAUACACAGAACACACCCUCAUACUGACCUCACCGUCACACACCCAUAUACACUACACACUCUCAUUCCACCGGGAUACACACAGAAGCGGAUAGAUAACAGAUGACGUGAGAGAUAGAGAGCAGUUGAUAGAGAAAAUAGGAGAAGAAAACAGUAGAGGGUGAUCGGUGAUCGGAAAAGGAAAGAGAGGGAGAACAAGGGAUCGACGGGGUCAGAAAUUUGACUCGUUUGCUUCGAUUUCUUCCAUCUCCGAGCUCGCCGGAGAUACAGCGAAGUGAAAAAAGUGCUUAGCCCCCUCAAAAUCCGAAAGUUCUGACCAGUUGAGCUUGACUGAGCUCUGGUGAUAUGAAAACAACGACCCAGCCCGCUCCGCAAUCGAACCCUUAUCGGAAAUCAUAAAUGGGGUUUUGUUGGCCGUCGUGAAUUUUUUUUGCGAUUCUUGUGGAAAACAAUAAAGGUAUAUCGAGGUUGGUUUUGUUCGAUUGGCGAGUUCAAGGUCGAGGUUCAUUGAUUCCCA